RNAcentral lists this ribosomal RNA (460 nucleotides) under uncultured bacterium. RNAcentral's name for it is "partial 16S ribosomal RNA". It matches the Rfam family "Bacterial small subunit ribosomal RNA", at positions 338 to 795 of the family's 1533-position model. The record is from RNAcentral.
CCUACGGGAGGCAGCAGUGAGGAAUAUUGGUCAAUGGGCUUACGCCUGAACCAGCCAAGUAGCGUGAGGGAAGACUGCCCUAUGGGUUGUAAACCUCUUUUGUCAGGGAGCAACGCCGGCUACGUGUAGCCGUACUGAGAGUACCUAAAGAUAAAGCAUCGGCUAACUCCGUGCCAGCAGCCGCGGUAAUACGGGGGAUGCGAGCGUUAUCCGUAUUUAUUGGGUUUAAAGGGUGCGUAGGCGGAAUGCCAAGUCAGCGGUAAAAUCGCGGGGCUCAACCUCGCUCCGCCGUUGAAACUGGCGUUCUUGAGUGGGCGAGAAGUAUGCGGAAUGCGUGGUGUAGCGGUGAAAUGCAUAGAUAUCACGCAGAACUCCGAUUGCGAAGGCAGCAUACCGGCGCCCAACUGACGCUGAAGCACGAAAGCGUGGGUAUCGAACAGGAUUAGAUACCCCUGUAGUC